RNAcentral lists this long non-coding RNA (2152 nucleotides) under Mytilus galloprovincialis (Mediterranean mussel). Lineage: Eukaryota; Metazoa; Mollusca; Bivalvia; Mytilida; Mytilidae. The record is from RNAcentral.
AAAAGCUUAAAUUUAAACUAGUGCUAGUAGGUUUCAUGUGAAAUAGUGCUAGUAGGUUUCAUGUAAAAUAGUGUUUGGUGGUAAAAUCUGAACAAGUGCUAGGAUGUUAAAUUUAAACUAGUGCUAGGAGGUAAAAUUUGAACUAGUGCUUGGAGGUUAUAUCUGAACAAGCGCUAAGAGGUUAAAUUCAAUUUACUUCCUCCUUCAAAAUAUGAACUGUCUUAUAAAAAAAUGUCCUUUUUUGAAAAUUUAAUAUGUGAGUUACUGCAGUAAAUCACUGUAUCAGAUUUCAAAGUUUAUUGAUGAGUUGAACCUUUCAUAACUUGAUUGUUUCUGACAUCAUACAUUUACAUCUAUAUUUAUAUCCACUUCACAAUCUUGUCAUUGCAGUCCUCAAUAGUGCUCUGUCCUCAAGUAGUUAGAUGUAGAAUGUUUAAUAAUUUGAUAUGCAGAUUUCCUUCAUGUUCUAUUAAAAUUCACCAAUUUAUUGAUAGAAACACUUUACUCAUUUUCUGGAAAUAAGAGACAUUGAGGUUUAUGCAAAUUAGAUGUUAAUCGGUAAACCAGAAAACUUCCAAUCUAGAAAAACCUGUUUAUUGCAGUUGAAUUUUGUGUGUCCGAAGCGCUAUUCCGAAAUAACAUUCAUUAAGAAUAUUUACUUCCAAAAAUUUGAAAGUUAAGGAUGUAUGAAUAUGUAUAUAUGAGAAGCCUAUAGGGAAUAGCUAGAUCAACAUAAGGUUAAAUUUGCCUGAGGGAGAUGAAAAAUUAGUUUAUUAAAACAUUUAUCAAUAGAUAAUCUAAGAAAAUUGUUAGAUUGUGUUUGUACUGACGCACUGACUACUGAGUGAAAUUUGGCCAUAUGGUUUCAGAAAAACUUAUCAAUAGAGAAUUGAAGAAAAAAUUGUUAUAGAUUGUGUCAUUACUGAUGCACUGACUACCAAGUCAAAUUAGGCCAUAUGGUUUCAGAAAAACUUAUCAAUAGAGAAUUGAAGAAAAAAUUGUUAGAUUAUGUCAUUUCUGACACACUGACUACUGAGUCAAAUUAGGCCAUACGCUAAUGUGUUUUUAUUUGUGUUCAUAAAAUGGUUGUAAAUCUAUAAAAAAGGUCCAUAAUCUCAGUGAUGACCAAGGCAUAUUAUUGUAAAGUCUUAUUAAUGCUAUAAAUAAAGGAAAAUGAUAAAAAAAAGUUGCUAUAAAAAAAUUCUGCAAAGUGCACAAGACAGAUCUUUAAGAUUUUCAAUUUAACAUCAUAUUUUCUAUGUUUUAUUUUUUCUGGCAAAAUCAAUAUAACUUUUCAAGAACAGGCACAUUUAGAUUUUCAUGGUUAUUGUCUCCCCUUUUUCAUGACACCUUAUUUUUAGCAUGAUAUUGUAUUUAUUUAGAUGCUUGAAUGUAUGCAUGUUAAUCUUUUAAUCAGGUAUUACCUAUCUAGUCUAUAUGUUUAAACAGUAAAUUUUCCUGGAAUAUUUCAUUUUGUUCAUAAGGGUCUGGAUAGGGGAUUACAGAAUAAAGAAUGAAGGACAGAAUAAAAGGGCCUGAAAUAGAAAGAAUAAAAAAUAAAAGGCCAAAAAUUCAGAGAAAAAUGCAUGGGAUGCUGAAAUAUAAAAAUAGUGAAAAAUCACAUAGAAAAUAGAUAAAAAAUAAAGAAUUGAAGAAUUCCAAUCCAGACCCUUGUACAGGCUUGUUAAGAUUAUUCUUGUUGCUUGUUAUAUAUAUUUCUAUUGGUCCAUUUAAAAUGUCAACUGUAUUUUUAUUGGCCUAUUCAUCAAAGUCUACUAGUCUAUUUGUGUGAAAAAUAUUUUCCUAGAUUUUUAUUUACCCUUGAAAAUUACCUUAUUUUAUAGUACUGUCUAUAAAAAUUCUUGUCUUAUAUUUUUUUUAAACUUUUUUUCACAAUAUUGAAAAUGAAUAAAUUGAAAAAGGGGGAAGGGGGAGUGAAAAUAUCUAUUAUGUUAUUGCAUGAAAUUUUUAUGAAGAUAGAAUGCACAAGAAUUGUUAAAUUGUAAUAUUUACUGCAUGUAAUUUUUAUCUAUAAGGCCACAACAUUUUAUCUAGUAGUUCUGAAAGUAUCUGUUUUGAUCCAGACUAUUGCACAUCAAUAUUUUCCAUAAUUUUUUUUAUUCUAUAUGCCUCAACAGAAAUAUCAAAAUUC